ACUGCGCCUCGGGAGGGUCCGGCCACCGCUGGAACCCGAGGCCGGGGCUGGGGGCGCUCCGGGCUCCGACCCACGGGCCGGCCGGCCCUGCCCGGGCUGGGUGAGGGGCGCCCGCCUCAAGCUAGAGAAAAAGAGCCGGGAGGAGUCUAGUGGUGAGGGCAGCGGCGUGGAGAUCCUGGCCAACCGGCCCUACACGGAUGGGCCCGGGGGCAGCGGGCAGUACACACACAAGGUGUACCACGUGGGCUCCCACAUCCCAGGCUGGUUCCGGGCACUGCUGCCCAAGGCUGCCCUGCAGGUAGAAGAGGAAUCCUGGAAUGCCUACCCCUACACCCGAACCCGGUACACCUGCCCUUUCGUGGAGAAAUUCUCCAUUGAAAUCGAGACCUAUUACCUGCCUGAUGGGGGGCAGCAGCCAAACGUCUUCAACCUGAGCGGGGCCGAGAGGAGACAGCGCAU
This 459-nucleotide small RNA is filed under the name Pan troglodytes (chimpanzee). RNAcentral describes it as "processed transcript". The record is from RNAcentral. Lineage: Eukaryota; Metazoa; Chordata; Mammalia; Primates; Hominidae.